RNAcentral lists this RNase P RNA (386 nucleotides) under Fibrobacter sp. RNAcentral's name for it is "RNase P RNA component class A". It matches the Rfam family "Bacterial RNase P class A". Rfam says of the family: Ribonuclease P (RNase P) is a ubiquitous endoribonuclease, found in archaea, bacteria and eukarya as well as chloroplasts and mitochondria. The record is from RNAcentral. Lineage: Bacteria; Pseudomonadati; Fibrobacterota; Fibrobacteria; Fibrobacterales; Fibrobacteraceae.
AGCGGGUAGCGGAUGGCCGCCGGCUUCACGGCUGGAGGAAAGUCCGGGCACCGCAGGGCAUGAUGCUGGAUAACGUCCAGGCGCGGUAACGCGACAGAAAGUGCAACAGAAAGCAAACCGCCCCGUUUGAACUUCGGUUCAGCGAGGUAAGGGUGAAAUGGCGAGGUAAGAGCUCACCGCGCUUCUGGUGACAGGGGCGGCAUGGUAAACCUCAUCCGGUGCAAGACCAAGCAGGAUUCCGUUCGCAAGAACCUGGUGCGGCCCGUGCCAGCUGGAUAUCCGGGUAGGUCGCUUGAGGCGGUCGGUAACGAUUCGUCCAGAGAGAUGGUCAUCGCCUCGAUGGCAACAUUGGGGUACAGAACCCGGCUUAUAACUACCCGUUUAUG